RNAcentral lists this ribosomal RNA (339 nucleotides) under uncultured Synergistaceae bacterium. RNAcentral describes it as "bacterial SSU rRNA". It matches the Rfam family "Bacterial small subunit ribosomal RNA", at positions 1045 to 1382 of the family's 1533-position model. Lineage: Bacteria; Thermotogati; Synergistota; Synergistia; Synergistales; Synergistaceae. The record is from RNAcentral.
AUGGCUGUCGUCAGCUCGUGUCGUGAGAUGUUGGGUUAAGUCCCGCAACAGCGCAACCCCUCGCAUUCAGUUGCCAUCGGGUGAAGCCGGGCACUCUGGAAGGACUGCCAUCGACAAGAUGGAGGAAGGUGGGGACGACGUCAAGUCAUCAUGGCCCUUAUGUCCAGGGCGACACACGUGCUACAAUGGCCGGCACAACGGGAAGCGAGUUCGCGAGGACGAGCGGAUCCCUUAAAGCCGGUCGCAGUUCGGAUUGAAGUCUGCAACUCGACUUCAUGAAGCUGGAAUCGCUAGUAAUCGCAGAUCAGCCAAGCUGCGGUGAAUACGUUCCCGGGCCUU